CCUACGGGAGGCAGCAGUGGGGAAUAUUGGGCAAUGGAGGAAACUCUGACCCAGCAACGCCGCGUGAAUGAUGAAGGUCUUCGGAUUGUAAAGUUCUUUUCUACGGGAAGAAGAAAGUGACGGUACCUUAGUAAUAAGCCUCGGCUAACUACGUGCCAGCAGCCGCGGUAAUACGUAGGAGGCGAGCGUUAUCCGGAAUGACUGGGCGUAAAGGGUGCGUAGGGGGUUUGGCAAGUUAGUAGCGUAACUCCAAGGCUCAACCUUGGAACUACUACUAAAACUGUUGGACUUGAGUGCAGGAGGGGGAACCGGAAUGCCUAGUGUAGCGGUGAAAUGCGUAGAGAUCAGGAGGAACACCGGUGGCGAAGGCGGCCGGCUGGACUGCGACUGACGUUGAGGUCCGAAAGCGUGGGGAGCAAACAGGAUUAGAUACCCUAGUAGUC
RNAcentral lists this ribosomal RNA (443 nucleotides) under uncultured bacterium. Its description in RNAcentral is "partial 16S ribosomal RNA". It matches the Rfam family "Bacterial small subunit ribosomal RNA", at positions 338 to 795 of the family's 1533-position model. The record is from RNAcentral.